AUUACCUCACCUUGAAAGAGGAGAUGAAUGGAAAAUAGGAGACAAAACCAAGAGAAGAUGGAGGAGAUGUUAUGUUGCCACCAUCUUUGGCCUUCUUCGCGCACGCGGUUGGCCAGGCUCAAUGCCUCUACAAAGUUCUUCAUCCCAUCUCUUGCAAACAAGAAAAGAUGAUGCCACAUACAUUUGUGUGGUGUUUUGCAACUUUGAAUCUGCUGCCUGGAGAGUGGCACAAGCUGCAUCUAUGUUUAGCCUAGGUGAGCAUACUGGGUUUAGGAAGAAGCAGAAAAUGGUCUUCAAGGUGCUGAAGAUUGGGAUAGUUUUCCGCUCCGUCAUCAUUGGGGGUGACCUUGGGGAUGUCUUAGGACGCCUGCACCAUCCGCCCGCUUGUCGCAACGCUCUCCUUCCACCAGGUCUUCGAGGUGACGGGCCUCAGCGGAUGCAUCACACAGGUGUGAGGAUCAAAACAUACAUAUCUCAAUUUCGAUGUGAUCCAUGUGCAAUUGGUUGAAUUGAUAUCAUGGCAAUGAUUUUUCUUCCGAUGCUGGUUUGUGGCAUCCGCGCAAGCCGCAACAACGCGCCACAGGUCCCGUGGCUGAUGCGGGAGGGAGGAGGUUACAUAGUGAGGAGGAGACAGAGGUGGCGGCGGAAGAGAUGGAGCAGCAGCAGAAGGAAGAGUAAACCUGAAUAUCAGCUCCAGCUUCAAUAUACUAUGCUAUAUUGCCUACAACAGCAAGUAAGAUGCUUGCAAAACCGUGCAGCAGGUUCCUCUUUCAAUUCUUGAGGGUUAUUUGCACAAAAAUGUGCAAAUGAAUUCACUGAUCAAUAUAAGCUACAGAAGAGGUGGAUUUCAGGUUUGAUUAGUUGACUUGCUUGCUGCCAAUUAGAAGAAAGGUGUUUCACGAUAUACUUGGUUGAUCUUACUGAUGUUAAGAAGAGGACACAGAGCUGGGACUUUAAGCCAUACCUUUUUUUUCUACGAAAUGACAGUGACAAGCCAGAUGAGCAGCCACCAGCCCUUCUCCACCAUGUUGUCGAUAGUUUUGGGUGGAAGAAGCAUGAGUUUAUCCGAGCUUGACGCUGGAUCUUUAUUUAGUAUGUCCCUUCACAGGCCACCUCACUCAUUGCUGUUAUCCGCUGGAGCGUUGAUGAGGCACCGUUCCUCCGCUGUGACAUGCUAUGUUGCUCUCAUCUUCCCAGCAUCUCAACAAGACAUGUCAGUAGAUCUAUUAUGUUUGCGGUAAUUAAGAAGAUUAUAGGAAGGAGUUGCUUCAUAGGCAAGUCAAGAGUAGAUGGCAAUGCUUCCUUUUUGGGAGUUCCAGGAUAUUUUUCACAGAAUAUGGAGGUUCAGGAGUAUUGAGGCUUGCAAUCUUAGCAAAUAGCCAGAUAAGCCAAAAUUUCCCCAUUCCUUCUCUACAGUUAAUCUCAUAUAUCUUCUUGCUUUCCUCUUCUCUUGGCCUUAUUUGACUGCUCAAUAAUUAAUGUGUUACACUCUGUUGUGUCAAGAUAGUAUAUAUCCAUAUCUCAAUUUUGUAGCCGCUUUCUUGCAUCAGGUUGGACCUCUGCUAAGAUGGCACAUCAGUCAUGGCUUGAUAUUUCUCUUCUGAAAAAUAGGGCCGUUUUACUUACAUGAGGAGUAGAUUAGAAAUUUGAUGAUGUCUUUUCACUGUACAAUUUACUAUAUGUCCAGUCAUGGUUCAUUAUCUAUGCACACAGGCAUUUGAUCGAUUGCGAGAAGAAAUUGUAUGGAUUUUUUUUGAAUGCUUGAGCAAGGUAAAUUCUAUUCUCUGUACUGCUGAAAAAUCAUUCAUUAUCAUGCAUUGCGUUCAAUACAAAUUUAUGCCCUCCAUCUCUUUAGGUUGUUGCCACUCGCCACACUGUCCUUCUCUAGCUGUGCAUGCUAGCCUUUGAAAUGGUGCAAAAAUACUUCUAUAUUGAUUUCAGAUAUAACAUAGACGAUGAAGGGAAAUAUCUUUCUUUUUUAAUAUUUAUUCUACAAAGGUCUGCAAUGCAUUGCACUAUUGCAGGUAACUAAACUUUAUCUAAUGGAAAGACAACGAUGACUAUUAUACUGUUUGAAACUAAUAUGAUUAGGAAAGAAAUAUGAGGAGGUUCACGAGAGGAUACUAAUAUUGUAGGUUUAGAAGGCGAUCAAAGGAUUUUCUUUCAGAAAUUAUUAUCCGAGUGUGUUGAUUGGGUUUUCGGACUAUUUAUCAUUUUCUCAUGAAUUUAAUGCAUUUGGAUUAUAUGUGUGUUAACUUCCCCUUUGUCGCCUCUCUAUCUUAGCCAUAUCGUCGCCCCUGUCCUAUCGGAAUGCCUGCUGAUAAUUUCAGCUCUGCCGAUAGUUUCACACUCUCACUCAAGUGACAAUCAUCCUUUGCCUCUUUCCCAUUUUCUCUACAAAUACUUCAGCUUAGCAACUUUUAAUGUUGAUAUCCUUUUGUGUUUACAGCAUGCACCUAUUUGAAAAGGCUGUUACGGUUUGUUUGAAAUGAUAUGGUAUGAUUUUACAAAUGUUAUUGAGAAUUGAGAAAGGAUUAUAUUUCACCAUUAGCUUCCUGAAAUGAAACUUAGUAAUGUGAGAGAAGAAGCCAACUUAUUUGCUCUUUAUCAGCUUGCCAAGAUAACAAUGUGAUUUAAAAUUCAAGGUGAAGUUUUUGAUUGAGUGAUGUUCGUAUCGUCUAUCUAUUACAUGAAGCAUGAAAAUAUGAUGUGUGUAAAGUGUUGCUACUGUUGAAAGUAUGGGGAUAAAUCACCCUGUUUUCCAGAUUAUAUUAGCCGGUGCGUAGAUACCUCACUGAUCAUAUGUGCCGGUGUCAUUUUACCUUUGAUUGUUUUCACUACAUGGAAAAGGUAGUAAUCGUACUAUUGCUGCAAGCCUUGGGUGCAGUGCUUUCACAUAUUUGUGUAGGAUAUAUGGAUUUUAUUAAAUGAGCUAAUUAAUUCAGUUUCAUCUAAUAUCUGUCUCCUAUGUAAUUAGAAUAUAUAUCAACGAUUUUGUAUUGGUGCAUCAGCAUCAUCCACAUGAAAAGUUUAUUCUGACAUCUACUUUAGGAUGUGUGAGAUUUGCUAUGGACGAUAAGGAAUAAUUUCCAAUCAUUUUAGUGUUGCAACCACCAAUGUUCUGAAACUGAUAGCUUAAAAUCUGAGACUUGAGUUAAGAAAUAAAAUAAAAUAUCCCUUAUAUAUUAUAUAUGAGUGUACCGAUAAAACUUUUCAUGACAUAAUAGUAGUGGUAGUGAGCAAUGAUUAAUGUUUUCUAGCUUCCAAUUGUCAUUGAAUAAGAACAUCAGUUUUAUAUUGGCAGCAGAUGCACAUCCUGAUUGGUCAUUCAACCUUAAUUUGCAGUUCACUGCCAUGAACCCAACAAUGAUAAGGCAAAUCAGUAGAUAGUGUAUGAGUGUACUAAUCAGUAUACAAGCUUGACUACCAUGGUCACUGUCAUGGACUGAGUUUCUCAACUGUAAGUGCGAUGUGAUUCCCUAGCAGAGAGGAGGAUGAAAUGUGGAGCAGCUUGGUGGGCACCGAAGCAACAAGCGUUGGUUGCCUUCAGCGGUGAUAGCUACAGAACCGUGCCCUUCUCCUCUUGUUUCCAAGAUGUGUAGUCCAGCAGAGUAUAGAGAUAUGUUAUUCACUUCUCAGCGGAUUAUCUCUACAUGGCUUUAAUUGUUAACUGAAACUUUCUAUUUGUACCCGUGUGAGAUUUAAGAAGAAAACGGGGAAGCAAAGGAUUCAGUUCUACUCUAAUUACUAAGGCAUGUCAGCAUGCAUUCUAUUUCUAUGGUUCUGAUUAAUUAGUAUUGGGAUGUUUGAUGUUCA
This is a non-coding RNA of Lolium perenne, 3816 nucleotides long. The record is from RefSeq and is a predicted model, not a curated record. Lineage: Eukaryota; Viridiplantae; Streptophyta; Magnoliopsida; Poales; Poaceae.